Long non-coding RNA from Solanum stenotomum, 585 nucleotides. RefSeq lists it as uncharacterized. The record is from RefSeq and is a predicted model, not a curated record. The transcript is spliced from 3 exons. Lineage: Eukaryota; Viridiplantae; Streptophyta; Magnoliopsida; Solanales; Solanaceae.
UGUCCAUGUAUCUCCAUGCAGUCCGUAGAUGGAAGAAUCCCAGUUCCUGUGCACACCUCUAAUAGCGGUGCUACAUCCUCCGCAGGACCUGCUUCUUCAACAGCCACGGGCCGUUCACAGAACCAAACCGUGGUUGUUCAGAACCCUAUGUCUUUAGAUGAAAGUGGCAAGUUGGUGAGCAAUGUUGUUGUUGGUGUGACAACGACGACUUAGGAAUUAUCUGUAAGGAUUAAGAUUCCUAUGUCUGUGAAAUGCACCUAACUGAAGGCAGUAAGGUUUUUGCUUGCUUCCAUUGGAUCGAUGAAUAUAAAUGUGGUGCUAUAUAGAUAUGGUAAUAUUUAGUCCUAUAGUAUUAAAGCAUUUCUAGAUUGAAGAAGUGUACCAAAGGUCUGACCAUUUGUGGUAACAUUGCCAAAGUGAUUGAACAUUUAGGCUUUAGUAAUGUUGAUUUUCUGGAGUCAGUAAAUGUUGCCAAAUUAGAUUCUGUGGUGUGAAUACGCUCGAUGAUCCAAGUACAGAAUGUUGAUAUGUACCAUUUGUCCUGAUGUCAAUAAAAUUUAAUCAACUUGGUGGGUGUGAUCUUGA